ACGAUGAUAAUGCUUUAAGGUGCCCUUUUAUAAUCAAAAGGGAUAAUAGGGAAUCGGGUUGAAAUCCCGAGCAGCACCCACUACUGUAACUCAGACGAAAUCCGGUAUGGCCACUGCCGUGCAUACGGUGGGAAGGUAAGGAGAGUAGGAUGAUGGGAAGCCAGGAGACCUGCCUUAAAAGCAAAAAUCUC
This 191-nucleotide non-coding RNA is filed under the name Desulforamulus ruminis. The record is from RNAcentral. Lineage: Bacteria; Bacillati; Bacillota; Clostridia; Eubacteriales; Peptococcaceae.